GGUGAACGCUGGCGGCGUGCCUAACACAUGCAAGUCGAGCGGUACAGUUUGAAGCUUCGGUGGAGGGCUGUAUAGCGGCGGACGGGUGAGUAAAGCGUAGGAACGUGCCCCUCGGAGUUGGAUAGCCAUGGGAAACUGUGGGUAAACCGACAUAGACUCGGGAGAGUAAAGGCCGAAAGGCGCCGAGGGAGCGGUCUGCGUCCCAUCAGGUAGUUGGUAGGGUAAAGGCCUACCAAGCCGACGACGGGUAACCGGUCUGAGAGGAUGGCCGGUCACAAGGGCACUGAGAGACGGGCCCUACUCCUACGGGAGGCAGCAGUGGGGGAUUUUGGACAAUGGGCGAAAGCCUGAUCCAGCGACGCCGCGUGGAGGACGAAGCCCUUCGGGGUGUAAACGUCCUUUUCUCAGGAAAAGGAUGAUGGUACCUGAGGAAUAAGCCCGGCUAACUACGUG
This 453-nucleotide ribosomal RNA is filed under the name uncultured bacterium. Its description in RNAcentral is "bacterial SSU rRNA". It matches the Rfam family "Bacterial small subunit ribosomal RNA", at positions 28 to 507 of the family's 1533-position model. The record is from RNAcentral.